RNAcentral lists this ribosomal RNA (253 nucleotides) under uncultured bacterium. Its description in RNAcentral is "partial 16S ribosomal RNA". It matches the Rfam family "Bacterial small subunit ribosomal RNA", at positions 524 to 776 of the family's 1533-position model. The record is from RNAcentral.
UACGUAUGGGGCAAGCGUUAUCCGGAUUUACUGGGUGUGAAGGGAGCGUAGACGGCGAUGCAAGCCAGAUGUGAAAGCCCGGGGCUCAACCCCGGGACUGCAUUUGGAACUGUGUGGCUGGAGUGUCGGAGAGGCAGGCGGAAUUCCUAGUGUAGCGGUGAAAUGCGUAGAUAUUAGGAGGAACACCAGUGGCGAAGGCGGCCUGCUGGACGACGACUGACGUUGAGGCUCGAAAGCGUGGGGAGCAAACAGG